This 1042-nucleotide ribosomal RNA is filed under the name human gut metagenome. RNAcentral describes it as "bacterial SSU rRNA". It matches the Rfam family "Bacterial small subunit ribosomal RNA", at positions 339 to 1396 of the family's 1533-position model. The record is from RNAcentral.
CUUCGGGAGCAGCAGUGGGAAUAUGCACAAUUGCCGCAGCCUGAUGCAGCGACNCCGCNUGANGGAUGAGCCCNUNCGGUNNGUAAACCUCUUUAUCGGGGAGCAAGCGAGAGUGAGNUUACCCGUGAAAUAAGCACCGGCUAACUACGUGCCAGCAGCCGCGGUAAUACGUAGGGUGCAAGCGUAUCCCGGAAUUAUGGGGCGUAAAGGGCUCGUAGGCGGUUCGUCGCGUCCGGUGUGAAAGUCCAUCGCUUAACGGUGGAUCCGCGCCGGGUACGGGCGGGCUUGAGUGCGGUAGGGGAGACUGGAAUUCCCGGUGUAACGGUGGAAUGUGUAGAUAUCGGGAAGAACACCAAUGGCGAAGGCAGGUCUCUGGGCCGUUACUGACGCUGAGGAGCGAAAGCGUGGGGAGCGAACAGGAUUAGAUACCCUGGUAGUCCACGCCGUAAACGGUGGAUGCUGGAUGUGGGGCCCGUUCCACGGGUUCCGUGUCGGAGCUAACGCGUUAAGCAUCCCGCCUGGGGAGUACGGCCGCAAGGCUAAAACUCAAAGAAAUUGACGGGGGCCCGCACAAGCGGCGGAGCAUGCGGAUUAAUUCGAUGCAACGCGAAGAACCUUACCUGGGCUUGACAUGUUCCCGACGGUCGUAGAGAUACGGCUUCCCUUCGGGGCGGGUUCACAGGUGGUGCAUGGUCGUCGUCAGCUCGUGUCGUGAGAUGUUGGGUUAAGUCCCGCAACGAGCGCAACCCUCGCCCCGUGUUGCCAGCGGAUUAUGCCGGGAACUCACGGGGGACCGCCGGGGUUAACUCGGAGGAAGGUGGGGAUGACGUCAGAUCAUCAUGCCCCUUACGUCCAGGGCUUCACGCAUGCUACAAUGGCCGGUACAACGGGAUGCGACGCGGCGACGCGGAGCGGAUCCCUGAAAACCGGUCUCAGUUCGGAUCGCAGUCUGCAACUCGACUGCGUGAAGGCGGAGUCGCUAGUAAUCGCGAAUCAGCAACGUCGCGGUGAAUGCGUUCCCGGGCCUUGUACACACCGCCCG